GGAGCGGUAGUUCUGCCGGUUGGAAUGCCGGCUCACGCCGAGGGUCGCGGGUCCAACCCACGUCCGCUCCGCCA
RNAcentral lists this transfer RNA (74 nucleotides) under Pseudomonas chlororaphis. RNAcentral's name for it is "tRNA-OTHER". Lineage: Bacteria; Pseudomonadati; Pseudomonadota; Gammaproteobacteria; Pseudomonadales; Pseudomonadaceae. The record is from RNAcentral. RNAcentral also lists the same sequence under 2 other names.